Molecule: transfer RNA, 72 nt
Filed under: Camelus bactrianus (Bactrian camel)
Lineage: Eukaryota; Metazoa; Chordata; Mammalia; Artiodactyla; Camelidae
Also listed under: 1 other name
Rfam family: tRNA
About the family: Transfer RNA (tRNA) molecules are approximately 80 nucleotides in length. Their secondary structure includes four short double-helical elements and three loops (D, anti-codon, and T loops).
Source: Rfam by way of RNAcentral
GUGGGCAUAGCACAGUGGUAGAGCUCAUGCUAAGUAUGCAUGAGGUCCUAGGUUCAAUCCCCAGUAUCUCCA